AUUGAACGCUGGCGGAAUGCUCUACACAUGCAAGUCGAACGGCAGCACGGGGGCAACCCUGGUGGCGAGUGGCGAACGGGUGAGUAAUACAUCGGAACGUGCCCAGUCGUGGGGGAUAACGUAGCGAAAGUUACGCUAAUACCGCAUACGAUCUACGGAUGAAAGCGGGGGACCGUAAGGCCUCGCGCGAUUGGAGCGGCCGAUGUCAGAUUAGGUAGUUGUGGAGGUAAAGGCUCACCAAGCCGACGAUCUGUAGCUGGUCUGAGAGGACGACCAGCCACACUGGGACUGGGCCUCGGCCCAGACUCCUACGGGAGGCAGCAGUGGGGAAUUUUGGACAAUGGGCGCAAGCCUGAUCCAGCCAUUCCGCGUGCAGGACGAAGGCCUUCGGGUUGUAAACUGCUUUUGUACGGAACGAAAAGGCUCUGGUUAAUACCUGGGGCUCAUGACGGUACCGUAAGAAUAAGCACCGGCUAACUACGUGCCAGCAGCCGCCGUAA
This 500-nucleotide ribosomal RNA is filed under the name uncultured bacterium. RNAcentral's name for it is "partial 16S ribosomal RNA". It matches the Rfam family "Bacterial small subunit ribosomal RNA", at positions 30 to 523 of the family's 1533-position model. The record is from RNAcentral.